UACGUAGGGGGCAAGCGUUGUCCGGAUUUAUUGGGCGUAAAGAGCUCGUAGGCGGUUUGUUGCGUCUAUCGUGAAAACCUGCAGCUUAACUGUGGGCUUGCGGUGGAUACGGGCAGACUUGAGUUCGGUAGGGGAGACUGGAAUUCCUGGUGUAGCGGUGAAAUGCGCAGAUAUCAGGAGGAACACCGGUGGCGAAGGCGGUGAUCUGGGCCGGCACUGACGCUGAGGAGCGAAAGCGUGGGGAGCAAACAGG
RNAcentral lists this ribosomal RNA (253 nucleotides) under uncultured bacterium. RNAcentral's name for it is "partial 16S ribosomal RNA". It matches the Rfam family "Bacterial small subunit ribosomal RNA", at positions 524 to 776 of the family's 1533-position model. The record is from RNAcentral.